This 469-nucleotide ribosomal RNA is filed under the name uncultured Acidobacteriota bacterium. RNAcentral describes it as "bacterial SSU rRNA". It matches the Rfam family "Bacterial small subunit ribosomal RNA", at positions 12 to 498 of the family's 1533-position model. The record is from RNAcentral. Lineage: Bacteria; Pseudomonadati; Acidobacteriota.
UUUGAUCCUGGCUCAGAAUCAACGCUGGCGGCGUGCCUAACACAUGCAAGUCGAGCGAGAAAAGGGGGGCAACUCCCUGAGUACAGCGGCGCACGGGUGAGUAACACGUGGGUAAUCUGCCCUGGAGUGGGGAAUAACACCGGGAAACCGGUGCUAAUACCGCAUACGAUCGCGAUGUCUGCGGACGUUGUGAUGAAAGGAGCAAUUCGCUCCAGGAGGAGCCCGCGGCUGAUUAGCUAGUUGGUGGGGUAAUGGCCCACCAGGGCUACGAUCAGUAUCCGGUCUGAGAGGACGGUCGGACACACUGGAACUGAGACACGGUCCAGACUCCUACGGGAGGCAGCAGUGGGGAAUAUUGGACAAUGGGCGCAAGCCUGAUCCAGAAUGCCGCGUGAGUGAAGAAGGCCUUAUUUGUAAAGCUCUUUCUGCGGGGACGAUGAUGACGGUACCCGCAGAAGAAGCCCGGGCU